Molecule: ribosomal RNA, 253 nt
Filed under: uncultured bacterium
Lineage: Bacteria
Description: partial 16S ribosomal RNA
Rfam family: Bacterial small subunit ribosomal RNA
Source: RNAcentral
UACAGAGGUUGCAAACGUUGUUCGGAAUUAUUGGGCGUAAAGCGCGUGUAGGCGGCUUUGCAAGUCGGGUGUGAAAGCCCUCGGCUCAACCGAGGAAGUGCGCCCGAAACUGCAGAGCUUGAGUACCGGAGAGGAUGGCGGAAUUCCCCAAGUAGAGGUGAAAUUCGUAGAUAUGGGGAGGAACACCGGUGGCGAAGGCGGCCAUCUGGACGGAGACUGACGCUGAGACGCGAAAGCGUGGGUAGCAAACAGG